RNAcentral lists this ribosomal RNA (251 nucleotides) under uncultured prokaryote. RNAcentral's name for it is "partial 16S rRNA". It matches the Rfam family "Bacterial small subunit ribosomal RNA", at positions 525 to 775 of the family's 1533-position model. The record is from RNAcentral.
ACGGAGGAUGCAAGCGUUAUCCGGAUUCAUUGGGUUUAAAGGGUGCGCAGGCGGAUUAAUAAGUCAGUGGUGAAAUCCUACGGCUCAACUGUAGAACUGCCAUUGAUACUGUUAGUCUUGAGUAUUGUUGAGGUAGGCGGAAUGUGUCAUGGAGCGGUGAAAUGCAUAGAAAUGACACAGAAGAAAGAUCGCGAAGGGAGAAUACCAAGCAAUAACCGACGCUCGUGCACGAAAGCUUCUGGUUCUAACAG